Molecule: long non-coding RNA, 554 nt
Organism: Numida meleagris (helmeted guineafowl)
Lineage: Eukaryota; Metazoa; Chordata; Aves; Galliformes; Numididae
Exons: 3
Source: RefSeq, a predicted model, not a curated record
GUAACAUCCCAUACAACUGUAAUGUGAUACCUAGUGUUCAUACAGCGCAUUAACAAAGUAUGAGGCAAUGCAACAUUACAGAGCUUCUGCUAAUAUGAAUAUGUGACAGCAUUGUAAAUGUUAAUUAUUUACUGAUGGUUUAACUGUUUCACAGAUAGUUGUUGCUGACUUCUGCGUCUAAACAGACCAUAUUACUUACAGGAGGACCAAAUACUUUAAAAAAUAUUUUUGAAGUGUGAGGACACACACCAUUUGAAGAUUCCAAAAUUAAGGUCUAUUGAAGAAUCACAAACCCAAGGAAAAAGAUAACAUUUCAGUUUUCAAUUAUGACUUUGCACAGAACCAUCACGUUCAGUUUUAGAUCUGAAGAACAGAAGGUCCAAGUGUUACUGACAACCAGAAGAGAGAGCGAUGAUGAACUACAGUCCCUACAACAUGUGCCACAAAAUGGACAUGGUUCCCACCUGUUACAGGCUGCCUGCCGUCCCGGCCUGCAGGUGCACGCCGCUGCGACACCCAGCACAACCCCAGCGCGGGAGGACGGAGCCGCUCCC